UACGGAGGGUGCAAGCGUUGUUCGGAAUUACUGGGCUUAAAGCGCGUGUAGGCGGGAUCGCAGGUGUCUUGUGAAAUCCCCGAGCUCAACUCGGGAACUGCUUGGCAAACCGCGAUUCUUGAGGCAGGUAGAGGUGACCGGAACGACGGGUGGAGCGGUGAAAUGCGUAGAUAUCCGUUGGAACGCCGGUGGCGAAAGCGGGUCACUGGGCCUGCCCUGACGCUGAGACGCGAAAGCGUGGGUAGCAAACAGG
RNAcentral lists this ribosomal RNA (253 nucleotides) under uncultured bacterium. RNAcentral describes it as "partial 16S ribosomal RNA". It matches the Rfam family "Bacterial small subunit ribosomal RNA", at positions 524 to 776 of the family's 1533-position model. The record is from RNAcentral.